AACGAACGCUGGCGGCGUGCUUAACACAUGCAAGUCGAACGCGAAAGGGAUCUUCGGAUUCCCGGUAGAGUGGCGCACGGGUGAGUAACGCGUAGGAAUAUACCUGGUAGUGGGGGACAACCCGGCGAAAGCCGGGCUAAUACCGCAUACGAUCUACGGAUGAAAGCAGGGGACCGCAAGGCCUUGCGCUAUCAGAUUAGCCUGCGUCGGAUUAGCUAGUUGGUGAGGUAAAGGCUCACCAAGGCAACGAUCCGUAGCUGGUUUGAGAGAACGACCAGCCACACUGGGACUGAGACACGGCCCAGACUCCUACGGGAGGCUG
This 322-nucleotide ribosomal RNA is filed under the name uncultured Pseudomonadota bacterium. Its description in RNAcentral is "bacterial SSU rRNA". It matches the Rfam family "Bacterial small subunit ribosomal RNA", at positions 29 to 351 of the family's 1533-position model. Lineage: Bacteria; Pseudomonadati; Pseudomonadota. The record is from RNAcentral.